UGGAUAGAGUUUGAUCCUGGAUCAGGAUGAACGCUGGCGGCAUGGCUAAAACAUGCAAGUCGAACGAAGCCGCAAGGCUUAGUGGCAGAAGGGUUAGUAAUACGAUUGUACGUGCCCCGAGGUGGAGGAUAGGCAUGGGAAACUGUGCGUAAUACUCCAUGUGAUCUCCGGAGGAAAGCCGCAAGGCGCCUUGGGAGCGGCGAUCGUCCUAUCAGGUAGUUGGUGAGGUAAUGGCUCACCAAGCCGAAGACGGGUAGCAGGUGUGAGAGCACGACCUGCAACAUCGGGACUGAGACACUGCCCGGACUCCUACGGGAGGCUGCAGUAACGAAUCUUCCGCAAUGGGCGAAAGCCUGACGGAGCAAUGCCGCGUGCGGGAUGAAGCGGCUUCGCCGUGUAAACCGCUGUCAGGAAGCAGAAACACUGAUCGCUUCCAGAGGAAGGGGCGACUAACUCUGUGCCAGCAGUCGCGGUAAUACAGAGGCCCCGAGCGUUAAUCGGAAUCACUGGGCUUAAAGGGUGCGCAGGCGGACCUGUAAGUGUUCUGUGAAAUCCCCCGGCUCAACCGGGGAACAGCAGGGCAAACUGCAGGUCUUGAGACAGGUAGGGGUCGAUGGAACCAUGGGUGGAGCGGUGAAAUGCGUAGAUAUCCAUGGGAACGCCAAUGGCGAAGGCAGUCGACUGGGCCUGUUCUGACGCUCAGGCACGAAAGCGUGGGGAGCAAACAGGAUUAGAUACCCUGGUAGUCCACGCCGUAAACGAUGCACACUAGAUCGGAGUCGCUCUGACGCGCCUCUGGUCGACGUAAAAACAUUAAGUGUGCCGCCUGGGGAGUACGGUCGCAAGGCUAAAACUCAAAUGAAUUGACGGGGGCUCACACAAGCGGUGGAGCAUGUUGCUUAAUUCGAGGCAACGCGAAGAACCUUACCUGGGUUUGACAUGCACGGAUUAACUCCUGGAAACAGGAGCCACACCCUUCGGGUGGAACGUGCACAGGUGCUGCAUGGCUGUCGUCAGCUCGUGCUGUGAAGUGUCGGGUUAAGUCCCGCAACGAGCAACU
Molecule: ribosomal RNA, 1060 nt
Filed under: uncultured Planctomycetota bacterium
Lineage: Bacteria; Pseudomonadati; Planctomycetota
Description: bacterial SSU rRNA
Rfam family: Bacterial small subunit ribosomal RNA
Source: RNAcentral